GACGAACGCUGGCGGCGUGCUUAACACAUGCAAGUCGAACGGUGAAGGGGUCUGCUUUUGUGGGCCCUGGAUGAGUGGCGACCGGGUGAGUAACACGUGAGUAACCUGCCCCCUUCUUCUGGAUAACCGCAUGAAAGUGUGGCUAAUACGGGAUAUUCUGGGUCUGUCGCAUGAUGGGUCUGGGAAAGAUUGCGCCUUUGGGUGUUUUUGGUGGGGGAUGGGCUCGCGGCCUAUCAGCUUGUUGGUGGGGUGAUGGCCUACCAAGGCGGUGACGGGUAGCCGGCCUGAGAGGGUGGACGGUCACACUGGGACUGAGACACGGCCCAGAGUCCUACGGGAGGCAGCAGUGGGGAAUAUUGCACAAUGGGCGCAAGCCUGAUGCAGCGACGCCGCGUGAGGGAGGGAGGCCUUCGGGUUGUAAACCUCUUUCGCCAGUGAAGCAGGCCUGCUCCUUGUGGGUGGGUUGACGGUAGCUGGAGAAGAAGCGCCGGCUAACUACGUG
RNAcentral lists this ribosomal RNA (502 nucleotides) under uncultured bacterium. RNAcentral describes it as "partial 16S ribosomal RNA". It matches the Rfam family "Bacterial small subunit ribosomal RNA", at positions 28 to 507 of the family's 1533-position model. The record is from RNAcentral.